CUUAUAGCUCUACCAGUUGAUUAUCAUCAUCAUCAUAGAUAAUAAUCUAGACUAGUAUUCUAGAUCUAUAAAUAAUCAUAGUCACCGUGAUAGUGCCCUUUUUAGUCAAUGUAGUCAAGUCAAGAUAGUGGAACGUAAACUCGAAGGUUUAAUACAAUACAGUAUAAGUAGAGUCUAUGAGUUAGUAUAAGAUCUAAUUAUUUUGUUUCUUUGUAUGUCAAUGUCUCAAUUAAAAUAAUUAAUAUCAUCAGCCAUAUCAUUUUAAAUAUUAAAAUAGUAGACAUAGAUUUCUAUAUAUUAUAAAUAGAUAGAUUAGAUCUAUAAAAUAUAAUUUUACAAACUUUAGAAAUGAUUGAUUUUAUUUUUAAUUGAUCAGCCUUCUAGACUAGAUUUAGCAUCUCUAGCUAGACUCUAACUUGUAGUUUGUAGAUCUUGGAAUUGGAUCGAAAUUCACCUUCCUAAAUCGUCUCUAAAGUCUGUAGCUGAUUUGAGAGGCCCAACGAGGCAAGAGUCUAUUACUAUUAGUACUCUGUCUCUUGAUCUAUCUAGUAGGCCUACUUAGCUAGUGCAUUAGUGUAGUCAAAUCUUGACAACUAGUCUUCUAGAUCUAAGCUUCUAGAAUAAUUAGAUCUAGAUCCAGUUUAGAUUUAGAAUAUAAAAGUAUUUUACUAGCUAAAAUACUAAAUCUACUGAUCUAAAUUCUAGAUAGAUAUACAAUAUAUAGAUCCAGUUUAGAUUUGGAAUAUAAAAAUAUUUACUAGCUAAAAUUCUAAAUCUACUGAUCUAUACUUAUUAUUUUAGAUAUUAUAUGACAUCUACAAAAAUUAUUAUUAAGAUAUAAUUAUAGAUUCUAGACUAGUUAUUUAUGUACAUAAAAUAUAUAAAUAAAAGAUAAAAUUUAUGCAGGCCUAGAUCCCAUAAAUUUAUAAUUGAUCCAGAUCUAUCAGUAAAAGUUACCUUCGAUGGGAAGUUCUACCCAAUCUAAUCUAUACAAGACAAUUUAUAAUCCAUGCCUCGCCUACACCCCAUACAUUAAAUAAUAGUUCCCAUUCCAUGCCAUGCCCAGACCCAUGAGUUCAUGAAAUAAUAAAUGAUGUGGUGUCAAGUUGGAUCUAUCCCCUGAAAUUCAGCACUUUAAUAUAAAACUCACAUAUCUAGUUAAUUAUUUGCUAUGACACUCUGAUCAACUUGGACUUGUGUAAUACAUAUAUGUUUCUUAUCAGAUUUAAUGAAUGAAGUUUUGGUGCAUUUUAAGGCUACAAAAGUAUCAUCAGGUGCAUUUUAACCAUUGGUAUUUUUCCUGGCAACAUUUCUAUUCUAGUCUGUGAUAAAUUAUAAAUUUAAAAAAAUGUUUGUAAUGUUUCAGUUAUUAACAAGUAGAACCAUGCCAACCAGUUCUGAUGAUGUACCAGAAUGGCUCAAGGAUCAUACUUAUACUAUUUCUACUCUCUGGGCAGACAUUAAUAAUAUUGGCAUCCAUUCAAUAUUUAUUUUAUGUUUGGAAAUGCAAGAAAAAGGCAUGCAUUCCUGACAAGUCAAUGAUUGGUUGCACCUCUUAAAGAUAACUUUCUGUUAUGAGAAAAGAUGAGAUUCUUGGACUCCUGCAUAGCACCACCAGAAAGGAAAAUCCCAUCAUGUUGCAAAAUAAAAGUCUUGGACCAAUUUUAAUUUAAGAUAUAUAUAUUAUACUGUAAGCUCUAUACAUAUUUAUGUAUAUCCUGUCAUUCAGCCAACAGGUUUGGAUUUAGUAUUUCUUUAAAUCUGUUUGAUAUUGUACUUGAAAACUAUUAAUCUGAGCCCCAUUAAAACAAUAGUGAGUGCAGUGAAUGAGUGGUAAAGCACUUGGCUUCUGAACUGAGGGUUCCUGGGUUCGAUUAAGACUGGGAUUUUCAAUUUCAGAAUUCAAAAGGAUACAUGGCAAUAGUAAGGAAUAAAUAAAGGCAGUUUGGGGAUCCAUGGCUGAAUAUAAGUCAUGGGUUUGAAUCUCUGUGAAGACUCACAUUUAAAUUUUUUAGAUUUUUGGGUGCCCCUGAGUCCACCUAACUCUAAUGGGUAGCUGACUUUUGUUUUGGAAAGUAAAGAUGGUUGGUUGUUGUGCUGGCCACAUGAUGCACUGGCCAAAGAAUCAAAUGACCUUAAUAUCAUCUGCCCUAUAGAUUGUGAGGUCUGAAAUGGGAUUUUUUUUUCAAAAGGUGGUUGGUUGUUGUGCUGGGUACAUGACACCCUCGCUAACCAUGGGGCACAGAAACUGAUAAACUUUAUAUCAUCUGCCCCAUAGAUUGCAAGAUAUGUAAGGGAAAUUUUACUCUUUUAAAAUUAAAAUAAGAAUCUAACAAAAGUAAACAUAUAAAAUAUGGUGCAUUCUCCUUAAAACUAAAACCUGGUGCGAAGGUAUAAAAUGUUGGCAAAAAAAAGCAACAUCAUAUAUUCUUAAUUCCCUUUGCAAAACUUACUGAGAAGAACAUGCAUGUUGUUCCAUUAUAAGUUUCUUGACAGAGGAAAUCUUGUUUAUA
Long non-coding RNA from Biomphalaria glabrata, 2513 nucleotides. RefSeq lists it as uncharacterized. The transcript is spliced from 3 exons. The record is from RefSeq and is a predicted model, not a curated record. NCBI's taxonomy places the organism in Eukaryota, Metazoa, Mollusca, Gastropoda, Planorbidae.